GAUGAACGCUGGCGGCGUGCCUAAUACAUGCAAGUCGAGCGAACAGACGAGGAGCUUGCUCCUCUGAUGUUAGCGGCGGACGGGUGAGUAACACGUGGAUAACCUACCUAUAAGACUGGGAUAACUUCGGGAAACCGGAGCUAAUACCGGAUAACAUGUUGAACCGCAUGGUUCAACAGUGAAAGACGGUCUUGCUGUCACUUAUAGAUGGAUCCGCGCCGCAUUAGCUGGUUGGUAAGGUAACGGCUUACCAAGGCAACGAUGCGUAGCCGACCUGAGAGGGUGAUCGGCCACACUGGAACUGAGACACGGUCCAGACUCCUACGGGAGGCAGCAGUAGGGAAUCUUCCGCAAUGGGCGAAAGCCUGACGGAGCAACGCCGCGUGAGUGAAGAAGGUCUUCGGAUCGUAAAACUCUGUUAUUAGGGAAGAACAAAUGUGUAAGUAACUAUGCACGUCUUGACGGUACCUAAUCAGAAAGCCACGGCUAACUACGUG
Molecule: ribosomal RNA, 497 nt
Filed under: uncultured bacterium
Lineage: Bacteria
Description: partial 16S ribosomal RNA
Rfam family: Bacterial small subunit ribosomal RNA
Source: RNAcentral